RNAcentral lists this ribosomal RNA (484 nucleotides) under uncultured bacterium. RNAcentral describes it as "partial 16S ribosomal RNA". It matches the Rfam family "Bacterial small subunit ribosomal RNA", at positions 28 to 507 of the family's 1533-position model. The record is from RNAcentral.
AUUGAACGCUGGCGGCAUGCUUUACACAUGCCAGUCGAACGGCAGCGCGGGCUUCGGCCUGGCGGCGAGUGGCGAACGGGUGAGUAAUGCAUCGGAACGUGCCCAGUAGUGGGGGAUAGCCCGGCGAAAGCCGGAUUAAUACCGCAUACGACCUGAGGGUGGAAGCGGGGGACCGAAAGGCCUCGCGCUAUUGGAGCGGCCGAUGUCGGAUUAGCUAGUUGGUGGGGUAAAGGCUUACCAAGGCGACGAUCCGUAGCUGGUCUGAGAGGACGACCAGCCACACUGGGACUGAGACACGGCCCAGACUCCUACGGGAGGCAGCAGUGGGGAAUUUUGGACAAUGGGGGCAACCCUGAUCCAGCCAUGCCGCGUGCGGGAAGAAGGCCUUCGGGUUGUAAACCGCUUUUGUUCGGGAAGAAAUCCUCUGGGCUAAUACCCCGGGGGGAUGACGGUACCGGAAGAAUAAGCACCGGCUAACUACGUG